This 818-nucleotide ribosomal RNA is filed under the name Levilactobacillus brevis. Its description in RNAcentral is "bacterial SSU rRNA". It matches the Rfam family "Bacterial small subunit ribosomal RNA", at positions 42 to 858 of the family's 1533-position model. Lineage: Bacteria; Bacillati; Bacillota; Bacilli; Lactobacillales; Lactobacillaceae. The record is from RNAcentral.
GCUUCCGUUGAUGACGUGCUUGCACUGAUUUCAACAAUGAAGCGAGUGGCGAACUGGUGAGUAACACGUGGGGAAUCUGCCCAGAAGCAGGGGAUAACACUUGGAAACAGGUGCUAAUACCGUAUAACAACAAAAUCCGCAUGGAUUUUGUUUGAAAGGUGGCUUCGGCUAUCACUUCUGGAUGAUCCCGCGGCGUAUUAGUUAGUUGGUGAGGUAAAGGCCCACCAAGACGAUGAUACGUAGCCGACCUGAGAGGGUAAUCGGCCACAUUGGGACUGAGACACGGCCCAAACUCCUACGGGAGGCAGCAGUAGGGAAUCUUCCACAAUGGACGAAAGUCUGAUGGAGCAAUGCCGCGUGAGUGAAGAAGGGUUUCGGCUCGUAAAACUCUGUUGUUAAAGAAGAACACCUUUGAGAGUAACUGUUCAAGGGUUGACGGUAUUUAACCAGAAAGCCACGGCUAACUACGUGCCAGCAGCCGCGGUAAUACGUAGGUGGCAAGCGUUGUCCGGAUUUAUUGGGCGUAAAGCGAGCGCAGGCGGUUUUUUAAGUCUGAUGUGAAAGUCUUCGGCUUAACCGGAGAAGUGCAUCGGAAACUGAGAGACUUGAGUGCAGAAGAGGACAGUGGAACUCCAUGUGUAGCGGUGGAAUGCGUAGAUAUAUGGAAGAACACCAGUGGCGAAAGCGGCUGUCUAGUCUGUAACUGACGCUGAGGCUCGAAAGCAUGGUAGCGAACAGGAUUAGAUACCCUGGUAGUCCAUGCCGUAACGAUGAGUGCUAGUGUUGGAGGGUUUCCGCCCUCAGUGCUGCAGCUACGC